Long non-coding RNA from Acanthochromis polyacanthus (spiny chromis), 1090 nucleotides. RefSeq lists it as uncharacterized. Lineage: Eukaryota; Metazoa; Chordata; Actinopteri; Pomacentridae. The record is from RefSeq and is a predicted model, not a curated record. The transcript has 3 exons.
GUUUAUGUAGGCCUAUCGGGGGGGGAUGGGGGGACCUGUGUGUUUUGUUUUUUGUUUUUUUGUAAAGCGCUUUGUGCUACAUUUCUUUUGUAUGAAAAGUGCUCUAUAAAUAAAAGUUUGAUUGAUGGAUUGAUAACCAUGCCGACUUUUUAUGGGUGCUCGCUCAUGUGUGACUGGAUAUGCAACGUUUUCUUUUUGCAUUUGUUUUCAUUUAUGCAGCGCGUCUGUAUAUGCAACGUUUUCUUGUUGCAGCGCGUUUCUGUUCAUGCAACACAUUCAUGUAUUUGCAGCUCGUUUGUGUAUAUUGUACAUUUGCCCCUGUCAGCCACCGUAGUAAAUGCAUGUUUUGUGUUCUUCGUCAGUAUAGCUGUUGCAAACUCAUGUAGGAGUAAUUAAUGAUGCAGUUAUUGGAUAUAGGUCACUUUUAUAAGUAGAUGUAAACAGGCGGUACAAAAAAUCAGAUAUAUACAUCAAGUCAGUAUUAGGCAAAAAGACCUGCAGUGUAAAUGAGGCCUAGAAAUGUAUGUAGAAAUUAAGUUUUUUUCACAUUUUAACUGUAAGCAAAGAUAAAUUAAUUUGAAAUAAAGUUCAUGUACUAUAAUUCAAACACAUAACACAAUUUUAUAUCUUUUUCAGAUGCACCAUUCAAUUUUUAAGUCAGUCAGAAAGCCUGCAGUAGAACGCUGCACAACAUGCUGCAUUUUUUUUCACUGCCCCCUUUGCCCCAAAGGCAUGUUUAAACCAAGCAUCCCGUCGAAGCUUCAGCGACAUUUGGAGGUCCACCUAAAAAUGCCAUUACAUUUGAAGAUAAGAAGAUCUGGACAGAUACAUCAAAAGCCCUCCUGCAAGGUGAGGUGUCACCAGUGUUUAGGCUGAAGAAAAGAAGGGUGGAUGACAUUACUAUGGAAGAAGAGCAGCAAGCUGAGGUUUCAGUCAGACCUGCUGAUGUGAGCACACCAGUGGAAGGGGUAGGCUAUUCUCACAGUAUCUAUUGGUCAGAUAUUGUUGGUGCAGCAGUUAUGGUACAGAAAGACAUUUUUUUAUUUCUGUCUUUUCUAUACGACUCGGUUGAAGUGCGUAUUCCGCAUGA